CCCUGGCUGAAAGGGAGAUGCCUUCUGCGCCAUCAUAAGCUUCAUCCAGAGCGUAAGAUCCAUUUGGUCCCACUGCAUUCCCGGAUUAGUCGCCAGGUGUUGACAAAACUGCUCGUCGUAUCGCCACCACGCGAGACCCCCAUAUGUGCGAUACACUUCCCAAACGCCAUCCAAGUAGCAAAAGAGCUUCCAACAGCGCUCCGCCGCCUACUCGCCCAUCACACUGGCCAAGAUGCAGAAUGCCCUUAACCAAUUCCCAAACAUCUUAGGGAUCUUCCUAUACUGCCUCUUCUUUUCCUCCUCCUCCUUCUUAAUGUCCUUUUUAUCCUCCUCCUUGAGGUCAAGGUAGUUCUUCAGGGGGAGAACUGAAAAGAGUUCCACGAACUCCCCUUUCCAGAUAUGCUCCUUCACCUCCAGUUUUAAGUGACAGCCUAAAGGACCCGCGAAAGAAAUGUGUACGUUCUGCAGCGCGGCCUCUGGGAUUCCCCCAAGUAAGCUGGCCCUCUCACUCGCCAGCUCAGACGCCAC
Molecule: non-coding RNA, 528 nt
Organism: Pelobates cultripes (western spadefoot toad)
Lineage: Eukaryota; Metazoa; Chordata; Amphibia; Anura; Pelobatidae
Source: the annotation of a GenBank genome assembly